RNAcentral lists this long non-coding RNA (476 nucleotides) under Homo sapiens (human). Its description in RNAcentral is "non-protein coding lnc-AMZ1-7:2". Lineage: Eukaryota; Metazoa; Chordata; Mammalia; Primates; Hominidae. The record is from RNAcentral.
AUGAUGAACGACAAAGAGAAAAGGGAGAGGCACCUGGUAUGUUCUCUAGGCCUUUUAGAAAACAUGGACUUGUUCUUUUGGCCACAUACCUGCAAAUCUAUAAGAAAGAUGAUAUUGGAGACAUCAAGGGAAUGGGUACUGUUCAGAAAGGAAGCCCCACAAGUGUUACCAUGGCAAAACUGCAAGAGUCUACGAUGUUACUCAGCAUGCUGUUGGCAUUGUAAACAAACAAGGUCAGGGCACGACUCUUGCCAAGAGAACUAAUGUGCGUGUUGAGCACAUUAAGCACUCUUAAGAGCCAAGAUAGCUUCCUGAAACAUGUGAAGGAAAAUGAUCAGAAAAAGAAGGAAGCCAAAGAGAAAUGUACCAGGGUUCAGCUGAAGAGCCAGCCUGUUCCCAGAGAAGCACACUUUGUGAGAAGCAGUGGAGAGGAACCUGAGCUGCUGGGGUGUCUCUCCUAUGAAUCCAUGGCAUGA